AGUCCGAGGCCCAUUAGGAGCACAGUGAACAGCAGCCCAGGCGAGCCCAGGGAGGCAAGAAAAUGAGGCUCCCCGUGAGGUCUAAUAAACACCUCUCGCCACACCCCAAACACAUAGACACGCAAUAGAGCCCAUAGGUCCUGAGUGAGUCCCCCUGGCCCACCCCAUUCAGCUGAGAUCUGACAACAUAUGUUUGGGGACAAACAGCCCCAGCAGCCAGGAGCAGGCCACAUCAUACAUAGUCAGCAUCAGCCAUGGUCCCCUCCCACUCUCCUGGGGGAAAAAGGUGCUUUACAGGCAGCGUGGCAUCCGAGCAUCCCCAUGGCGAUGCUGAGGUCAGACCUCACUGUGGUGAUCUCACGCUGGGGCCACCGGACUCAGGCCAGGCUGGGAGUAGGCUGUCUAGCCAUUGCUGGCUGUCAUUGUCACCAAGGGAAGGGGAGAAGCUGUGAAGAGUUGCUCUGGAAAAAACAAAUCUGCUCAUAGGACAAUGGGUCUGGGUGAACCUAUCCCGGCCCUCUUGGCUGCUGGGCCAGGGCCUGGUUUUUCACAGGGCACCAUUGAGACCACAGGAAGUGGCUUCCUGCCUCUGAAGACAGCACACAACUGCCCUAGAAAGCGCUCUUGUCACCCCUGCUGGUAGAGAAUCAGAGGCUUGUAGAUGUCUUUGCCACUUCCACGGGAUCUCUGGGAGCUGGAAACUGAGCUUUAAGAAAUAACUAUAGUGCAAAGGGAACUAAGGGAAAAGGGUUCAGCCCAAAGCAGAAGGGACUGUGAUGAUCACAGUGACCUCCUGAGGCCAGCAUGGUGGUAGCAGCCAGAGACAGCAGCUGAGUGAGACCCUAAGGGAGGGAUGAGCCAGGCAGUGUGUGGUUGGAGUUCUCCCUACACAUCUCGUUUUCCUCACCUCCAGAUCACACACAUGCACACACACAUAUGCACCCACACACCCCUUACACACUCCGGCCCGAAGGUUUCUGCAGGACUCCUUCCUGGCACUCUCUCCAGUGCUGCCAGCGUCGCACCACACUGCAAGGCUUUGCAAACUUUCCUUCCAAAGUGAAGGAGACCCUCUGGCCAUCUGAGGCUCGGUCUGAAGCAACAGCCUCAGAGCGCAAUCUCAGGCAUGCAGGAAGUGCAGGAAGGCCACGUGCCACAUACGUUAUCUCACUUAAUCUCAUUAGCAGGAAAUGUCUUUAAAGUCUUAUGUUGGUGCUUAAAAAUUCCUGAGCAGUUUAGCCCUUAAUAAAGCCAGGCUUUUUAAAAUUUGAAA
This 1273-nucleotide long non-coding RNA is filed under the name Homo sapiens (human). Its description in RNAcentral is "long intergenic non-protein coding RNA 2685". Lineage: Eukaryota; Metazoa; Chordata; Mammalia; Primates; Hominidae. The record is from RNAcentral.